UUUUGUCCGGUUCUCUACGUGUUGCCGGGAGGACGGUCCGAGCUCGGGGUUGGACUCGAGUCAGCAAUUGCGCGGAACGGGGUCCGGCUUCGCGAGUGGAGGAGUGCUCCGAUUGGGUCGUCGACUGCCAUUCUGGAAGCCCCCAGCGGAGAUCCGAAGCCAGUCGAGCUCGAUCUCCUUGUAGUUUAGUGUUUGAUUUGGAGGAUGCAGCACAUUCCGGCGACGAUUGACGACCAGCUUUUUCUGAACGCUAUUAGGGAAGAGAGCCCAUGGGAGAACCUGCCGAAGAGACUUCAACUGACGUUGACUUCAAAAGAAGAGUGGCAUAAAAGAAUCAUAGACUACUGCAUCAGGAAGCGUCUACAAUGGAAUCAAUGUUUUGCACGUAAAGUCUGUAAAGAGGGAGAAUAUUAUGAAGAAAUGAUGCGCUAUCUGCGUAAGAAUCUUGCUUUAUUUCCCUAUCAUCUUGCAGAAUAUGUGUGUCGUGUACUGAGGGUGUCACCUUUCAGAUAUUACUGUGACAUGAUCUUUGAAGUUUUAAAGAAUGAGCAGCCUUAUGAUAGCAUCCCCAAUUUCAGUGCCGCAGAUGCUCUGAGGCUUACAGGAAUUGGACGUAAUGAAUACAUUGAUAUUAUGAACAAGUGCAGAUCAAAGAAAAUUAUGUGGAAGCUGAACAAGUCAAUUGCUAAGGAAUUGCUGCCCACACAGCCUGUAGAUUUCCCUGUUGAACCAUGGUGGGGAGUUUGCCUUGUUAACUUUACAUUGGAAGAAUUUAAGAAACUCACUGAAGAAGAAAUGGCAACUAUAGACAAGGUCUGCAAGGAGGAAGCAAAUUCAUUUGUUCUUUUUGAUCCUGACAUUGUUAAAGGUCUUUACAGAAGGGGAUUAGUAUAUUUUGAUGUUCCUGUUUAUCCUGAUGAUCGGUUUAAAGUUUCCAGGCUGGAAGGAUUUGUUUCAAACAGGGAACAGUCCUAUGAAGAUCCAAUAGAAGAGUUAUUAUAUGCUGUUUUUGUUGUCUCGAGUGAGAAUGCUACCGUUGCUGAGUUGGCUGCAACCCUCCAGGCUGACCUUUCUCAGCUCCAGGCUGCUGCAUCAUUUGCUUGCCGAUUAGGCUGGGCUGUAAAACUUUUGGAUCCGGAAUCCAUCCUUCGAGAUUCUGUCAUGCCUGGCUACCCUAGUAAUAUACUAAGUGAUGAUGAAGAGGCUUCUACUGCUAGCAUCAACUCAGAAAAGUCUGGCCAGCAUAGUCAUGAUCUAGUAAUUGAAAAGGAUAGAAUGAUUUCAGGCACUGCUCAUGUUGCUUUUGUUGUUGAUGCCAAUAUUACUUCCUAUUUAAUGAUGGGAUCUGUCUCACCAGGGUUGAAGUCUCAUGCUGUAACACUAUAUGAAGCAGGAAAACUUGGUGAUUCUAGUAUUGCAGAACUUUGCAGGGAUCUCUCAACUUUAGAGGGAAAAAAGUAUGAGGGUGAACUACAGGAAUUUGCUAACCAUGCAUAUAGCCUUCGAUGUGUUCUAGAGUGUCUUCGAUCUGGUGGAGUAGCUUACAAUGAGAAGUUUGACAUAGCGAGUAAUCCAACUGAUACACAUUCCUUCAUUGAUGACAUUACUUCAGUUGCAGCCGAAAUUAGUAUCUCUGAGGAAUCUGGUGAUUCUAAUGUAAAUGAAGCAAAUCAUGAUGACUCUUUGGAACACGGUCAUACUGAAGUUCCCCAGCCUGAUUUAUCUCCAGACAAAUCUGACUCUGUAAAUGGUUCUACUCCUGUAUGUUCAGGUACUUCAGCUGAAAAUAACACAUGCAAACCUGAUUAUGAUUUACAGAAUGAUCAGAGAGUUACGUACUCAGGUGGUUCAGAAAAUGAAAGGACUGUUCUAAAAAGAAAACGGAAGUACCGUGUUGAUAUUCUUCGUUGUGAAAGCUUGGCCACUCUUGCACCAGCAACACUAGAACGACUACUUCUUAGAGACUAUGAUAUCAUUGCAUCUAUGGUUCCACUUCCUGCCUCAUCAGUUUUACCUGGACCUUCAGGUCCGAUCCAUAUUGGACCACCCUCAUAUUCUUCAACGACGCCAUGGAUGAAACUAGUUUUGUAUAGACUGAUGGUUAGCGGACCUCUGUCAGUUAUUCUGAUGAAGGGGCAGUGUCUGAGGUUUCUUCCUGCACCAUUAGCUGGUUGUGAAAAAGCACUAAUAUGGUCGUGGGAUGGUUCCAUAGUAGGAGGUCUAGGAGGCAAAUUUGAGGGAAAUUUGGUUAAUGGAAAUGUGCUUUUGCAUUGUUUAAACUCAAUGCUUAAGCAUUCAGCUGUUCUAGUACAACCCUUAAGUAGAUACGAUCUUGAUAGUUCUGGAAAGAUUGUCACAGUGGAUAUUGCAUUGCCGCUUAAGAACUUUGAUGGAUUGGUUCAACCUGUAGGGUUAGACAUGAAAUUAGACCAGGAGAGAAUUGCAAACUUAAAUUCAUUGUUAAAUGAUCUCUCAAGCAAAAUUGAGUUAUAUACAGUAGGUUACGUUCGCCUUAUACGACUCUGGAAGGGAAUACAAUCAGACUUGUUAACACCAGAUCAUGAACAAUAUGAAUGGGUUCCUUUGAGCUUGGAAUUUGGUAUUCCUCUAUUUAGUCCCAAAUUAUGUGGCAGAAUUUGUGAAAGGAUAGUUUCAUCACAUUUACUACAAACAGAUUCGCUUAGUGAGCACAAUGUUGCAAUGCAAAGUCUAAGAAGAAGAUUACACGAAUUAUGUUCUGAAUACCAAGCAACAGGUCCUGCUGCAAAGUCGUUUCACCACAUGGAACAUGUGAAGAAAUCACCUCGUCAACUGACAAGCUAUGCAAGUGGUAGAUGGAACCCACUGUUGGAGCCUUCAACAGCAAUCUCUGGAACCUCCAGUGAACACCAGAGGCUCAAGCUUGCAAAUCGACAAAGAUGCCAAACAGAGGUUCUGAGUUUUGAUGGGAACAUACUCAGGGCCUAUGCGCUUAGUCCUGUAUAUGAGGCCAUUACACAACCUGAUGAAGGGUCGACCCCUGCCAGUGGAGUGAAACAUGAAUCCGAUGAGCUAGACAGCAGAGAAGUUGUCCUACCAGGUGUUAAUCUAUUGUUUGACGGGUCACAGUUGCACCCAUUUGAUAUAGGUGCAUGUUUGCAGGCUAGGCAACCUAUAUCACUAAUAGCAGAAGCUUCAGCAACAUCUGCUUCUCUUCAGGCAACCAGGAUACAAAAAUAACUUGUUCUUGAACUAUUUUCCAUGUACCAAUUCAAUUGGUGAGGCUGGCAUUUCUUCUAUCGGUUGUUCAGAUCUCUUUCUGCAUCACCAAUGAUUUGUUAUUUCAAGUUCUGAAAAUUUUCUGUUCCAGGGGUUCUUUAUUCGGGCAGGUGAGUCUGGUUGUGUCCCAGUAAUCUAUAUCAUAGAGGUUACUUGCUGAAGGUUGAUGAUGAAGAGAAGUGACUGGUAAAAGAUAUUUUAAAUGCUCAAAUAGACGUGCAUACGAUCAGUUAUACCUGGGGAGCCCAGAAGUCUUAUGAUGUGAAUUAUAGUUGCUUUAAGCAGUUUUUUGGAAGAUUCUAUUGGUUCAGAAUAAGAUGUUCAAACCUUUCUUAAAAGUUUUCAGGGAGUUAGUGACACAGUAAAAUGAGUAUGAAAAUUAAAAGAAAAUAGAGGCGUUGUGGGCUUCUCUUCUAUUUAGUUUAUCGGCCAUUUCAUGGACUGUUGCUAUUGCAGAAAUUUGUUGCACUUGUAGCAUGAGAUUAGCAUGAAGGAUGCUUUUCCUUGUAUAGAAAUUUGUCUGAAAGAUAUAGACCACGAUCUUCCAUUGCAUCUUUGGACAAUUGGCUAUAGAGAUGUGAAGUCAUUAUUUCUCUUCCAUAGAAGGUGCUAUUUCCAUAUGAACUCACUCGAAGGACUUAAGCAUAGCUAAGGCCAACAAAUCAAUUGUUGGAUGAUAGUAAAGUAUCCUACCAUCUUAUUUACUACUAUUGUUUGAUGAUCACUGGCCGUGGGAAGAUAUUGCUCGUAUUGAAAUGGUACAUCCAUGUUUUUUAUUCA
Musa acuminata subsp. malaccensis (wild Malaysian banana) is the source of this 4038-nucleotide non-coding RNA. NCBI's taxonomy places the organism in Eukaryota, Viridiplantae, Streptophyta, Magnoliopsida, Zingiberales, Musaceae. The record is from RefSeq and is a predicted model, not a curated record.